GACGAUCGGACGAUUGCUGCAUGGCUUGUCCAUGUUGAGGAAAGUCCGGGCUUCACAGAAACACGAUACCGGAUAACGUCCGGCUGGGGCAACCCAAGGGAAAGCGCAACAGAAAAAAUUCCGCCGACGCUUGAUUCAAGCGGGCAAGGUUGAAAUGGUGCGGUAAGAGCGCACCGCUUUUCCGGCAACGGAAAAGGCACGGCAAGCCCUAUCGGAAGCAAGACCAAAUGAGGCUAUUCUUAAAGGGGGCGUUUCUGACCCCGCCAAAGGUAGGUCGCUACAGACAAUCGGCAACGAUUGCCGCAGAAGAAUAAUCGUCGAUUACAGAACCCGGCUUACAGAUUGUCU
RNAcentral lists this RNase P RNA (348 nucleotides) under human gut metagenome. RNAcentral's name for it is "Bacterial RNase P class A". It matches the Rfam family "Bacterial RNase P class A". From Rfam's summary of the family: Ribonuclease P (RNase P) is a ubiquitous endoribonuclease, found in archaea, bacteria and eukarya as well as chloroplasts and mitochondria. Its best characterised activity is the generation of mature 5'-ends of tRNAs by cleaving the 5'-leader elements of precursor-tRNAs. The record is from RNAcentral.